Perca fluviatilis (European perch) is the source of this 1835-nucleotide long non-coding RNA. RefSeq lists it as uncharacterized. The record is from RefSeq and is a predicted model, not a curated record. Lineage: Eukaryota; Metazoa; Chordata; Actinopteri; Perciformes; Percidae. The transcript is spliced from 5 exons.
CGUCACCAAAGUGCAUCACAGACACAACCAGGAACGUUGUCCUGCACCAGCUGGCAGUGAAAAGCCACAAUAAGGCCACACUGAGGACCCCAGAGCUGCUGGACUCCCUGGAGGAGAACCACACACCGUCGCCGCGGUACCGUUUUUACGGCUACUUUGCGGCUUUCACAGCCUCCAUUACGGUCAUUGCCCAGGGGGAUUGGUAACCUGGGUUUGCGAGGUCAAAGAGGCCGCAGAGGUGCACAGGCCUGGCGAUGAUGGUUUUGUGAUCUCUAUCAGGGAACACAAGACUAACAAGUCCUUUGGGGUGGCCCAAAUGUUCUUAGAGACUGACGAGUUUCGAUGGCUGGUUCGGUGGCUGCAGCUGCGGGUGGCCAGCAAGCCACCGAACCAGCUGGUGUUCUUCACGGCUGGGAAGGGCCCAUGCUAAAACUUCUUGCACCACCUGCAGGUAGCGUGGGCGGAGAUCUGCCUUAAAGGGUCCCCCAACUUCACUGACCUGAGGACCGCUGUGUCUGCUCAUGUCAAGAACAACCUUCUGUCGGGCAGCAGAAGAUGGUGGCCACCUUUAUGUGCCACAACAUGGCCACCGCUGACUGCUUCUACGCCCUCAGCCUGAACGUGGCCCAGUCAAAGAGGUUGAGGGAGCAUUUCCGCUAGGCCCUCACCCACACCGUGCCCUCACCGGAGCAACCAGAAGCCUCCUCCUCCUCCACCAGGAAGAGUUACCGCAAGCCUGAGUCCUCCUCCAGUUCCAAGACAAAACCCCUGCCACCUACCAGGAGUCAGGGACCUCGGGACUGGAGAAGGAGAGGGAGUUUAUGGCGAGGCUGCAAAAUACACCAGAGAAGGCCCGAGAAGUCUCGUGAACACGCCAGUGUGCUUCAGCCUAACUUGUGUGGUGGGAAAUGUCUUCAGCCACACCGGAAAAUAAGUUUUGUUUUUAAUACUUUGCUUUUGUAUGAGCUGGAUUAUACAGUACACCAAACGUAUUAUGAAUAACACAACAUGGAUAUUCCAUUACUAUGGGUUCUUACUGACAUUUCAGGACCAUUUAUGACGGGUCGGGAUAUUGCCAUCCUUGUGUAACCCAGACUAAAAGGUACACAGGCAUAGAUUCACAAGGGAGUGGAGGGGGGCAUUUUAUAGCAUUUUGAUAAGAUGCAUAGUGAUAUUAAUCAAAUACAGUAAUGCACACAAAAAAACUCUAUGGUUUCUAUGGGAGAAAAACAAACAUUAUGUACAUUAGCCAUGCCCUACAGGAAUUGGGAUUUUGUACAUUGAUACAUUUUGAAACCACUUCAAUACAUGAUACAUGAUGUAAGUUCUAAUAUCUAAGUUUUACAUAAAUUAAAUAAUUUGCACAUAUAUCUAUGUGUAUGUUGUCAGUCAUUGUACAUUUAGGUUGAAAUUGAGUGAUUCUUGACAUUGAAAUUAUAUCAAAAUAUGUCAAUACAUUUUGACGUAAUUUUGACGUCAAUGUUUGAUGUCAUAUUGAUGUUAAAUUGACAUCAAAUGCUCACUGGGAAGUGUGUGUGUUUUUAUAUAGAUUUUAAUUUAAUUUAAUGCAAUACAAAUGUAAAAGUGCUUAAAGUGUGUAAUAUAAUGUAAAACAAUGUUUUAUUUUCUGAAAUAAGGCAUACUGGCAUAGUAACCCAAGUUAGGUUAUUUUUGACCCAACUCCUGGGUUAAAAAGGGACCAACUAAUUUCUGGGUUAUUUCAACCCAGAAAAUUGGGUUGUUCUUUUGACCCAGAAGUUGGGUUAUUUUACCGAAACAUUUGGGUCAGGUAUUUAACCCAGAAGUUGGGUUAUAUUAACUACACUGUUGGGUUA